Molecule: ribosomal RNA, 445 nt
Filed under: uncultured bacterium
Lineage: Bacteria
Description: partial 16S ribosomal RNA
Rfam family: Bacterial small subunit ribosomal RNA
Source: RNAcentral
GUAAGGAAUAUUGGUCAAUGGACGAAAGUCUGAACCAGCCAUGCCGCGUGGAGGAUGAAGGUCCUCUGGAUUGUAAACUUCUUUUAUAUGGGACGAAAAUGGGGCUUUCUAGCUCAACUGACGGUACCAUAUGAAUAAGCACCGGCUAACUCCGUGCCAGCAGCCGCGGUAAUACGGAGGGUGCAAGCGUUAUCCGGAUUCACUGGGUUUAAAGGGUGCGUAGGUGGAUUGGUAAGUCAGAGGUGAAAUCUCCGGGCUCAACUCGGAAACUGCCUUUGAUACUAUCAAUCUUGAAUAUUGUGGAGGUUAGCGGAAUAUGUCAUGUAGCGGUGAAAUGCUUAGAUAUGACAUAGAACACCAAUUGCGAAGGCAGCUGGCUACACAUAUAUUGACACUGAGGCACGAAAGCGUGGGGAUCAAACAGGAUUAGAUACCCCUGUAGUCC